This 317-nucleotide long non-coding RNA is filed under the name Strongylocentrotus purpuratus (purple sea urchin). Its description in RNAcentral is "uncharacterized LOC115920215". Lineage: Eukaryota; Metazoa; Echinodermata; Echinoidea; Camarodonta; Strongylocentrotidae. The record is from RNAcentral.
ACAGUGUGAACAUUCAUAUGUGUAAAGGCACUUCAUACACCGUGCGGUUGUAAUUGUCUAUUUGGCAUUCCAUAAUUUUAUCGUCUGCGAAGAUUGUAAUUUUUGGCCCAAAACUGGGGCGCGUUAUGGCGAUGGAAAAGGAAUUGCAUCGUUAAUCGGCAUAUUAUUUAUGCCUGCCUGAGACUUUGGUAACAAGUGGCACAGUGUUUUUACGGGAAUCUAAGGAACAAAGUGAAUCAGCAAGCCAAAGAGUCAGCUUUGACCAUGAUGAAGAGACUAGAUUCAAUAAAGCUGUUUUGACUAUUGUUUACCCAGUA